AGAUAAAAAUAUAUUUAUGUUUGAAGCAUACGGUGCGGACUUUGAGGACGUUGACUGAACACUGCAAUGCAAAUUACUAUAACAUAAGUGUUUAAGUUUGACAUAGUGCCAAGAACAUGAUCGAUACCGUCGCCUUUCAUGCUCAGCUAGCCUCCAUCAUUGAGGUUUUGGCGAAUGCAGCCGUUGCCGAAAUCUGCAAACUUGUAGAUGACGGCCAUGCUGCCUUACGUUUGGAAAUUUCACAUAGUCAGAAAGAAAUUGAUAACCUGCGGAGGAAGCUGCUUUUGACAAAAUACCAGAAUUCUCAACGGGGCGCAGAGAAAUUCGGAGCCCUGCGACGCACAGUUCACAGGCGCGACACCAAUCGUGUUGCCCGGGAAAGAGCGAGCUUAGUAGGAAAGUCAUCAGGCAGACUUAGAUAUUGUAGUUUUUUAAAACCAUAUUUCAACACGAUAAAAAUAAUGAGUCAUGUAGAAUAUAUUGGAUAUUGUAGUUUUUUUAACCAUAUUUCAACACGUUCAAAAUAAUGGGUCAUGUAGAAUAUGUAACGUUUAUAAGGGUUUGUGUUUUCUGGUGCAGUGGAGAAUUGUUUUGCCGACAGUGAAAGGGGCAACUUAACGCAGGAUGUCACCAACUGGAGAGAUUCAGGACGCACAGCAACAGACCAGGAUAGAAGCAUGCAGAUGGCAGAUAUGCAAGAGGCACCUCUUAUCAAAAUGGAGAACCAUGACACCAGCAGAACAGAAGAGAUUGUCCAAAUGGUCAGUGAGAGCAGUGAGAAGAUCAUUAUGGCAGAACCAGGUCCUUCGUCAUCUACUGAAACCACAGACCUUCUGGACCAGCAGGGCAACAGACACAGAGCUCCAGACACCUCACUCAAUAUAGAACCUGAAAACCAGACGUUCCAGCAUCCAGCAUCACAAUACAACAGAGCGAGACAGGACCAUCAGGUUGCUGAGGGUGUGACCUGGGAAACUGACCAUCAACCCAUAGCAUACAGCCUGUCUCAAUGGACAGAGAACCAGGAGACUGACAACCCAACUGUGAAUGCUCCUCACAAUGCAGGGCCAGACUCCAAGAGGCUGUCUGAACAUCCAGAGAGGAGAGGGUUGUCUGGUAACUCUGGGGUCUGCAUGUCUGCUUUGGGCUCUCUGGACUGGGUGUCUGAUGUGGUGCUGGUAGACUCAGUUCCCAUUAAAGUGGAGGCAGAUAUGAGUUCAGAAUGGAGCAUAACUGGCCAAGAGGUGACAUCUGGAGAGGUCUGUUCAGACAGCAGGCAGCUUGUGGACAACAGAGGAAGAGGGGGAAUGGAGUCUGGACAGACAAAGUGUCCCACUGACACUCAACAUCCAGAGCAAGAGACAACUGUAGGAUUAAGGUCCAAGAUUCCAGAUUUCAACAGACUGUCCUCCCUAAACAGCUUUUCAUCCCCAAGUGUUACUUUCCUCCAGGUUGCCCAAAGAGGGACACCAGCCCCCUUACUGAAUUUCAACAGAGGCUCCACUUCUUCAUCGAAAGGCAUAGAAAAGCAGCCACAACAGCAAACAUCUCACUCGCCCAAGAGUCAGCACCGGUGUAGCCUCUGUGGAAAGCCCUUCCCCCAGCCGGCGCACCUGCGGAGGCACAUGCGGGUCCAUACGGGGGAGAAACCGUAUGACUGCAGCCACUGCACCAAGCGCUUCUCCCACAGCCACCAGCUGAAGAUGCAUGAGAGGGUGCACACCGGAGAGAAACCGUUUCAAUGUGUCUACUGCGGGAAGUGCUUCACCCAGUCUGGCCACAUGAAGAAGCAUCUCCUUGUUCACACUGGUGGCAGGCCACAGGACGUUGUACUGCCCUGAGUGUUCCAGGAAUCCCCAGAGGUACUAUGGUCUGGGGAAACCUCAUCUCCUGGAGCUUCCUCUUGAGUCGCUCGUGUGGAUCUUCUGGGAUAUGCUGCGUGUGGACAGGAAGAGAGGCUACUGGAACCUGUCUCUGGUCUGCAGAACUUUUCACACCAUCUUGAGAAAUUAAAUCAUCAGGAAGUACUCCAUAGGGAAGAUCUGAUCCUGAACCCCAGUCGUUACUGAAAGGAGAAGCCAGUACAUUGUGGUUACAGGUUACUGUGAAGGACAAUAUAAACCAUUAUAUACUUGCUGCAUGCUUGUUACUCUGCGUAGAACACUAAGUUGUAUAGCUAUUGCCCAGGACUAUCUGAAAUUCCUUUGGCUAUUUAGCCAUUCUAUAUCCAGAUAUUUCAAUCCUUCUACUGUUACAUUGUUCAGAGUUAGAGUGCAUUCUCAGUGUGGUGCAUCAGUUAGUUUUGAGACUACUAACCUUUAGCCUACACUUCUAUUUACUUUUAAGUGAAGCAAUUUUAUACUUUUUAAAAUCAAGUUGUAUGUUGAGUCUGUAUUGUUGUACUUGAACUAAAUAGUAAAUAUUUAUUUUCUGA
Molecule: RNA transcript, 2434 nt
Organism: Salmo salar (Atlantic salmon)
Lineage: Eukaryota; Metazoa; Chordata; Actinopteri; Salmoniformes; Salmonidae
Source: RefSeq, a predicted model, not a curated record